RNAcentral lists this ribosomal RNA (479 nucleotides) under uncultured bacterium. RNAcentral describes it as "partial 16S ribosomal RNA". It matches the Rfam family "Bacterial small subunit ribosomal RNA", at positions 28 to 507 of the family's 1533-position model. The record is from RNAcentral.
GAUGAACGCUGGCGGCGUGCUUAACACAUGCAAGUCGAACGAAGCACCUUGAUUCGAUUCUUCGGAUGAAGAUCUUGGUGACUGAGUGGCGGACGGGUGAGUAACGCGUGGGUAACCUGCCUCAUACAGGGGGAUAACAGUUAGAAAUGACUGCUAAUACCGCAUAAGACCACAGCACCGCAUGGUGCAGGGGUAAAAACUCCGGUGGUAUGAGAUGGACCCGCGUCUGAUUAGGUAGUUGGUGGGGUAACGGCCUACCAAGCCGACGAUCAGUAGCCGACCUGAGAGGGUGACCGGCCACAUUGGGACUGAGACACGGCCCAAACUCCUACGGGAGGCAGCAGUGGGGAAUAUUGCACAAUGGGGGAAACCCUGAUGCAGCGACGCCGCGUGAGCGAUGAAGUAUUUCGGUAUGUAAAGCUCUAUCAGCAGGGAAGAAAAUGACGGUACCUGACUAAGAAGCACCGGCUAAAUACGCG